GAGUUUGAUCAUGGCUCAGGACGAACGCUGGCGGCGUGCCUAAUACAUGCAAGUCGAACGAACUCUGGUAUUGAUUGGUGCUUGCAUCAUGAUUUACAUUUGAGUGAGUGGCGAACUGGUGAGUAACACGUGGGAAACCUGCCCAGAAGCGGGGGAUAACACCUGGAAACAGAUGCUAAUACCGCAUAACAACUUGGACCGCAUGGUCCGAGCUUGAAAGAUGGCUUCGGCUAUCACUUUUGGAUGGUCCCGCGGCGUAUUAGCUAGAUGGUGGGGUAACGGCUCACCAUGGCAAUGAUACGUAGCCGACCUGAGAGGGUAAUCGGCCACAUUGGGACUGAGACACGGCCCAAACUCCUACGGGAGGCAGCAGUAGGGAAUCUUCCACAAUGGACGAAAGUCUGAUGGAGCAACGCCGCGUGAGUGAAGAAGGGUUUCGGCUCGUAAAACUCUGUUGUUAAAGAAGAACAUAUCUGAGAGUAACUGUUCAGGUAUUGACGGUAUUUAACCAGAAAGCCACGGCUAACUACGUGCCAGCAGCCGCGGUAAUACGUAGGUGGCAAGCGUUGUCCGGAUUUAUUGGGCGUAAAGCGAGCGCAGGCGGUUUUUUAAGUCUGAUGUGAAAGCCUUCGGCUCAACCGAAGAAGUGCAUCGGAAACUGGGAAACUUGAGUGCAGAAGAGGACAGUGGAACUCCAUGUGUAGCGGUGAAAUGCGUAGAUAUAUGGAAGAACACCAGUGGCGAAGGCGGCUGUCUGGUCUGUAACUGACGCUGAGGCUCGAAAGUAUGGGUAGCAAACAGGAUUAGAUACCCUGGUAGUCCAUACCGUAAACGAUGAAUGCUAAGUGUUGGAGGGUUUCCGCCCUUCAGUGCUGCAGCUAACGCAUUAAGCAUUCCGCCUGGGGAGUACGGCCGCAAGGCUGAAACUCAAAGGAAUUGACGGGGGCCCGCACAAGCGGUGGAGCAUGUGGUUUAAUUCGAAGCUACGCGAAGAACCUUACCAGGUCUUGACAUACUAUGCAAAUCUAAGAGAUUAGACGUUCCCUUCGGGGACAUGGAUACAGGUGGUGCAUGGUUGUCGUCAGCUCGUGUCGUGAGAUGUUGGGUUAAGUCCCGCAACGAGCGCAACCCUUAUUAUCAGUUGCCAGCAUUAAGUUGGGCACUCUGGUGAGACUGCCGGUGACAAACCGGAGGAAGGUGGGGAUGACGUCAAAUCAUCAUGCCCCUUAUGACCUGGGCUACACACGUGCUACAAUGGAUGGUACAACGAGUUGCGAACUCGCGAGAGUAAGCUAAUCUCUUAAAGCCAUUCUCAGUUCGGAUUGUAGGCUGCAACUCGCCUACAUGAAGUCGGAAUCGCUAGUAAUCGCGGAUCAGCAUGCCGCGGUGAAUACGUUCCCGGGCCUUGUACACACCGCCCGUCACACCAUGAGAGUUUGUAACACCCAAAGUCGGUGGGGUAACCUUUUAGGAACCAGCCGCCUAAGGUGGGACAGAUGAUUAGGGUGAAGUCGUAACAAGGUAACC
This 1527-nucleotide ribosomal RNA is filed under the name Lactiplantibacillus plantarum. RNAcentral describes it as "Lactobacillus plantarum partial 16S ribosomal RNA". It matches the Rfam family "Bacterial small subunit ribosomal RNA". The record is from RNAcentral. Lineage: Bacteria; Bacillati; Bacillota; Bacilli; Lactobacillales; Lactobacillaceae.